Molecule: ribosomal RNA, 407 nt
Filed under: uncultured bacterium
Lineage: Bacteria
Description: partial 16S ribosomal RNA
Rfam family: Bacterial small subunit ribosomal RNA
Source: RNAcentral
GACGAACGCUGGCGGCGUGCCUAAUACAUGCAAGUAGGACGCAGUUGCGAACGGGUGAGUCACGCGUAGGUAACUGCCUAUUAGAGGGGGAUAACUAUUGGAAACGAUAGCUAAUACCGCAUACUAGUAGAUGGACCUGCGUUGUAUUAGCUAGUAGGUAGGGUAAUGGCCUACCUAGGCAACGAUACAUAGCCGACCUGGGAGGGUUAUCGGCCACACUGUGACUGGGACACGGCCCAGACUCCUACGGGAGGCAGCAGUAGGGAAUCUUCGGCAAUGGGGGGAAGCCUGACCGAGCAACGCCGCGUGAGUGAAGAAGGUUCUCGGGUCGGAAAGCUCUUUUGUUAAGGAAACGGUACUUAACCAGAAAGGUACGGCUAACUACGUGCCAGCAGCCGCGGUAAUUC